UGGGGAAUAUUGCACAAUGGGCGCAAGCCUGAUGCAGCCAUGCCGCGUGUGUGAAGAAGGCCUUCGGGUUGUAAAGCACUUUCAGCGAGGAGGAAGGUGGUGAACUUAAUACGUUCAUCAAUUGACGUUACUCGCAGAAGAAGCACCGGCUAACUCCGUGCCAGCAGCCGCGGUAAUACGGAGGGUGUCAAGCGAUUAAUCGGAAGUUACUGGGCAGUAAAGCGCACGCAGGUCGGUUUGUUAAGUCAGAUGCUGAAAUCCCCGGGCUCAACCUGGGAACUGCAUUUGAAACUGGCAAGCUAGAGUCUCGUAGAGGGGGGUAGAAUUCCAGGUGUAGCGGUGAAAUGCGUAGAGAUCUGGAGGAAUACCGGUGGCGAAGGCGGCCCCCUGGACGAAGACUGACGCUCAGGUGCGAAAGCGUGGGGAGCAAACAGGAUUAGAUACCCUGGUAGUCCACGCUGUAAACGAUGUCGAUUUUGGAGGUUGUGCCCUUGAGGCGUGGCUUCCGGAGCUAACGCGUUAAAUCGACCGCCUGGGGAGUACGGCCGCAAGGUUAAAACUCAAAGGAAUUGACGGGGUCAUAGCUGUUUCCU
This 593-nucleotide ribosomal RNA is filed under the name uncultured bacterium. RNAcentral's name for it is "partial 16S ribosomal RNA". It matches the Rfam family "Bacterial small subunit ribosomal RNA", at positions 355 to 1375 of the family's 1533-position model. The record is from RNAcentral.